Molecule: ribosomal RNA, 465 nt
Filed under: uncultured Klebsiella sp.
Lineage: Bacteria; Pseudomonadati; Pseudomonadota; Gammaproteobacteria; Enterobacterales; Enterobacteriaceae
Description: bacterial SSU rRNA
Rfam family: Bacterial small subunit ribosomal RNA
Source: RNAcentral
CCUACGGGUGGCAGCAGUGGGGAAUAUUGCACAAUGGGCGCAAGCCUGAUGCAGCCAUGCCGCGUGUGUGAAGAAGGCCUUCGGGUUGUAAAGCACUUUCAGCGGGGAGGAAGGCGGUGAGGUUAAUAACCUCAUCGAUUGACGUUACCCGCAGAAGAAGCACCGGCUAACUCCGUGCCAGCAGCCGCGGUAAUACGGAGGGUGCAAGCGUUAAUCGGAAUUACUGGGCGUAAAGCGCACGCAGGCGGUCUGUCAAGUCGGAUGUGAAAUCCCCGGGCUCAACCUGGGAACUGCAUUCGAAACUGGCAGGCUAGAGUCUUGUAGAGGGGGGUAGAAUUCCAGAUGUAGCGGUGAAAUGCGUAGAGAUCUGGAGGAAUACCGGUGGCGAAGGCGGCCCCCUGGACAAAGACUGACGCUCAGGUGCGAAAGCGUGGGGAGCAAACAGGAUUAGAUACCCCGGUAGUC